AUUCUCCUAUUCUUGAUAUAUUUAAAUUCAUUGAAAUCACAGCUAAAUCGUGGGACUAGUUUUAUAUCACGUGGUCAUGGUAAUGGGUGUAUGGAGUAUGUUAAAGGUGAUUUCUAUUUAAGUGAAUUGAGACAAGAAAUUAAUUAUGUUUGUAAUUGAUUAAAUGAGGAAUUCUAUUAGAAUAUUAGAAUUAAUUACGAUUUUUUUUGGGAUAAAUAUUAUAAUCCACAUGGAAGCUUGUUAAUUGGGAAGAUGGGGUUUUAAAUAUACGCAUGGAACAGAUGGGAUGAUAAUGGCUGUUGAGGUGUAAAGGUCCUAAAAGCCCCAUGCGUCAAAAGGAAUAGAGUGCAUGCGUAGCCUUUUUAUUCCACUUUUGGAGAAUUCACUUUAUGGAACUAAGUACUGCAUAUAUUUAAAAAGGAGCACAACGUAGCAAUUCUUUCUUGGAAGCAAUCUUUCAAGGUAAAUCCGACAAAUUCCUAGACAAAAAAAAAAAUGGACAGUGACGUGAACUUCCAAAUUCAACCAGCAAUGCCCUUCUUAAAUACACAGUAACAACCUUUCGUUUGUGCAACAUAGCAGCUAUUUUGUCCUAAUAAAUAUCAAGUCAAGUUCAAUUCCAUUGACGUGAUGAUACUAAUAUCAAUUUCCUCCGGUGCUGGCAAAUUGAAGAAUUUUUCGAAGUGAAGUAAAGUGGAAAAAGAAUACUUCUUGGUAUAUAAGGCUAAAAGAGCGACGAGACGAACGGGUUACGAAUAGCCGCUAACAGGUAUGUAAAGCGCAACCCUUCUUUCUUUUGGCAUGCCUUAGUUUUCAAUAGGCUAUAUCACGAGCCUCGAGGAAAUUCCAAAUUCGAAAUCCGAGCACGUUAUGAUCCUUAUAUAUAUUUCUUGGCAUUCUUAUGUAUGUUGUGAUGAAGUAUGAACCAUUAUGUCUUCGAAAGCAUUGAUUUCCAAACUUUGUACAAAAAGUUGUUUUAAAGAAUUCCGUAACUACGAAAUGCCAUAUCUUUCGCAUAAAGGCUCGGAUUGCUCCAAUAUUUUUAUAGGAGUUUGCAUGAUGUAUAAUGAGUAUGUUUUCCAUAGGCGGGCCCGUCUCGGGUCAAUACCCGUCCGUGGGUCCCGCGACUUUCCUUGAUGUAAUUCGGACGACUUUUGAAAGAAUUUGGUAUGAUUAUCAUUUCGAAUUUCAAGUAUGGUCAUUUACUUAUAUUUGAGUCUAUGAUAAUGAUUUUAUGCAUAUGGUUACUCAUGACUCUACUCGUGCGUUUUGUUAUAUCUUUCGCCGGUUCCCGGGCCGGUUCUGUUAUCGUGCGCACUUUGAUAUACUCCGGAGUUAUGCUGUGUUUAUGGUUCACCGAGCUACUCGCAAAAGAGGGUCGGGUUCCACCUAUAUUUGGUGUUAUGCUGUGUAUGGCGUUAUGUUGUGAUGUGAUAUGUGACGGGGAUACGGAGAUUUGAAACUUUCUGGUGUUAUGCUGUGUUAUGGCGCCAUCGACGGGUGGGCGACCAUAUUCUUCUGUACCCUAUGCAUUACUUACAUAUUUUUGAAAGUACAGACGCACAGUUUGGUGAUCUACCCAUUUAGGACACCCUUUUCUGCUGUUUGGAGUGCUCUUCUCAUUUCAGAGCACACAUUUUGGUAUAUAUUCGUUCGCUAUGUAUAUAUGUAUUUGUUCAGGGGCACGGCGGGGCCCUGUCCCGCCAUAUGAUUCGGUUUGUCUGUUUAGAGGUCUGUAGACGUAUUUGUGGGUGUGUGUGCCUACUUCUGUACAGAUGUGUUUGUAUGACCCCAUUCGUUAUAGCAGCCUUGUCGGCGUGCACUUUGUAUAUGUUUUGGGCCGUUGCGCCAUCUGUUAGCCUUGUCGGCUUUUGAUACAUUUGAUAGCCUUGCCGGCUUUUUGAUAUAUAUAUAUGUCCGCAUAUGGUUGCGUUGAAA
Molecule: long non-coding RNA, 1938 nt
Organism: Lycium barbarum (goji berry)
Lineage: Eukaryota; Viridiplantae; Streptophyta; Magnoliopsida; Solanales; Solanaceae
Exons: 3
Source: RefSeq, a predicted model, not a curated record